RNAcentral lists this ribosomal RNA (1345 nucleotides) under uncultured bacterium. Its description in RNAcentral is "bacterial SSU rRNA". It matches the Rfam family "Bacterial small subunit ribosomal RNA", at positions 28 to 1381 of the family's 1533-position model. The record is from RNAcentral.
GACGAACGCUGGCGGCGUGCUUAACACAUGCAAGUCGAACGGAAAGGCCCUGCUUUUGUGGGGUGCUCGAGUGGCGAACGGGUGAGUAACACGUGAGUAACCUGCCCUUGACUUUGGGAUAACUUCAGGAAACUGGGGCUAAUACCGGAUAGGAGCUCCUGCUGCAUGGUGGGGGUUGGAAAGUUUCGGCGGUUGGGGAUGGACUCGCGGCUUAUCAGCUUGUUGGUGGGGUAGUGGCUUACCAAGGCUUUGACGGGUAGCCGGCCUGAGAGGGUGACCGGCCACAUUGGGACUGAGAUACGGCCCAGACUCCUACGGGAGGCAGCAGUGGGGAAUAUUGCACAAUGGGCGGAAGCCUGAUGCAGCAACGCCGCGUGCGGGAUGACGGCCUUCGGGUUGUAAACCGCUUUCGCCUGUGACGAAGCGUGAGUGACGGUAAUGGGUAAAGAAGCACCGGCUAACUACGUGCCAGCAGCCGCGGUGAUACGUAGGGUGCGAGCGUUGUCCGGAUUUAUUGGGCGUAAAGGGCUCGUAGGUGGUUGAUCGCGUCGGAAGUGUAAUCUUGGGGCUUAACCCUGAGCGUGCUUUCGAUACGGGUUGACUUGAGGAAGGUAGGGGAGAAUGGAAUUCCUGGUGGAGCGGUGGAAUGCGCAGAUAUCAGGAGGAACACCAGUGGCGAAGGCGGUUCUCUGGGCCUUUCCUGACGCUGAGGAGCGAAAGCGUGGGGAGUGAACAGGCUUAGAUACCCUGUAGUCCACGCUGUAAACGGUGGGUACUAGGUGUGGGGUCCAUUCCACGGGUUCCGUGCCGUAGCUAACGCUUUAAGUACCCCGCCUGGGGAGUACGGCCGCAAGGCUAAAACUCAAAGGAAUUGACGGGGCCCCGCACAAGCGGCGGAGCAUGCGGAUUAAUUCGAUGCAACGCGUAGAACCUUACCUGGGUUUGACAUGGAUCGGGAGUGCUCAGAGAUGGGUGUGCCUCUUUUGGGGUCGGUUCACAGGUGGUGCAUGGCUGUCGUCAGCUCGUGUCGUGAGAUGUUGGGUUAAGUCCCGCAACGAGCGCAACCCUUGUUCACUGUUGCCAGCACGUUAUGGUGGGGACUCAGUGGAGACCGCCGGGGUCAACUCGGAGGAAGGUGGGGAUGACGUCAAGUCAUCAUGCCCCUUAUGUCCAGGGCUUCACGCAUGCUACAAUGGCUGGUACAGAGAGUGGCGAGCCUGUGAGGGUGAGCGAAUCUCGGAAAGCCGGUCUCAGUUCGGAUUGGGGUCUGCAACUCGACCUCAUGAAGUCGGAGUCGCUAGUAAUCGCAGAUCAGCAACGCUGCGGUGAAUACGUUCCCGGGGCU